UACGUAGGGGGCUAGCGUUGUCCGGAUUUAUUGGGCGUAAAGAGCGUGUAGGCGGUCAGGUAGGUCUGCUGUGAAAACUCGAGGCUCAACCUCGAGACGUCGGCGGAAACCAUCUGGCUAGAGUCCGGAAGAGGAGAGUGGAAUUCCUGGUGUAGCGGUGAAAUGCGCAGAUAUCAGGAAGAACACCCGUGGCGAAGGCGGCUCUCUGGGACGGUACUGACGCUGAGACGCGAAAGCGUGGGGAGCGAACAGG
This 253-nucleotide ribosomal RNA is filed under the name uncultured bacterium. Its description in RNAcentral is "partial 16S ribosomal RNA". It matches the Rfam family "Bacterial small subunit ribosomal RNA", at positions 524 to 776 of the family's 1533-position model. The record is from RNAcentral.